UAGGGAAUCUUCGGCAAUGGACGAAAGUCUGACCGAGCAACGCCGCGUGAGUGAAGAAGGUUUUCGGAUCGUAAAACUCUGUUGUUAGAGAAGAACAAGGACGUUAGUAACUGAACGUCCCCUGACGGUAUCUAACCAGAAAGCCACGGCUAACUACGUGCCAGCAGCCGCGGUAAUACGUAGGUGGCAAGCGUUGUCCGGAUUUAUUGGGCGUAAAGCGAGCGCAGGCGGUUUCUUAAGUCUGAUGUGAAAGCCCCCGGCUCAACCGGGGAUGGUCAUUGGAAACUGGGAGACUUGAGUGCAGAAGAGGAGAGUGGAAUUCCAUGUGUAGCGGUGAAAUGCGUAGAUAUAUGGAGGAACACCAGUGGCGAAGGCGGCUCUCUGGUCUGUAACUGACGCUGAGGCUAGAAAGCGUGGGGAGCAAACAGG
This 429-nucleotide ribosomal RNA is filed under the name Gemmatimonadota bacterium. Its description in RNAcentral is "Gemmatimonadetes bacterium partial 16S ribosomal RNA". It matches the Rfam family "Bacterial small subunit ribosomal RNA", at positions 355 to 776 of the family's 1533-position model. The record is from RNAcentral. Lineage: Bacteria; Pseudomonadati; Gemmatimonadota.